This 447-nucleotide ribosomal RNA is filed under the name uncultured bacterium. RNAcentral's name for it is "bacterial SSU rRNA". It matches the Rfam family "Bacterial small subunit ribosomal RNA", at positions 355 to 825 of the family's 1533-position model. The record is from RNAcentral.
GCGAGAAAACUUUGCAAUGUGCGAAAGCCUGACGGAGCAAUGCCGCGUGUGGGAUGAAGCGCCUUCGGCGUGUAAACCACUGUCAGGGAAUGGAACCAAUGAUUAUUCCCAAAGGAAGUGGCGACUAACUCUGUGCCAGCAGUCGCGGUAAUACAGAGGCCACAAGCGUUAGUCGGAAUCACUGGGCUUAAAGGGUGCGUAGGCGGGCCCGCAAGCGUCUUGUGAAAUCCCAUGGCUCAACCAUGGAAUUGCAGGGCGAACUGCGGGUCUUGAGGCAGGUAGGGGCCGGAAGAACAGUAGGUGGAGCGGUGAAAUGCGUAGAUAUAGGAAGGAACACCAGUGGCGAAGGCGACCACCUGGACUGAUACUGACACUGAGGUGCGAAAGCGUGGGGAGCAAACAGGAUUAGAUACCCGCGUAGUCCCUGAGCGGGCUGGCAAGGCGCAU